RNAcentral lists this ribosomal RNA (170 nucleotides) under uncultured bacterium. Its description in RNAcentral is "partial 16S ribosomal RNA". It matches the Rfam family "Bacterial small subunit ribosomal RNA", at positions 1324 to 1500 of the family's 1533-position model. The record is from RNAcentral.
AGCUGGAUUCGCUAGUAAUCGCGCAUCAGCCAUGGCGCGGUGAAUACGUUCCCGGGCCUUGUACACACCGCCCGUCAAGCCAUGGGAGCCGGGGGUGCUUGAAGUGCGUCGCCGCAAGGCGCGCCCUAGAGCAAAAACCGGUGACUGGGGCUAAGUCGUAACAAGGUACC